UAACCUACCUAUAAGACUGGGAUAACUUAGGGAAACCGGAGCUAAUACCGGAUAAUAUAUUGAACCGCAUGGUUCAAUAGUGAAAGACGGUUUUGCUGUCACUUAUAGAUGGAUCCGCGCCGCAUUAGCUAGUUGGUAAGGUAACGGCUUACCAAGGCAACGAUGCGUAGCCGACCUGAGAGGGUGAUCGGCCACACUGGAACUGAGACACGGUCCAG
Molecule: ribosomal RNA, 218 nt
Filed under: uncultured Staphylococcus sp.
Lineage: Bacteria; Bacillati; Bacillota; Bacilli; Caryophanales; Staphylococcaceae
Description: partial 16S ribosomal RNA
Rfam family: Bacterial small subunit ribosomal RNA
Source: RNAcentral